This 71-nucleotide transfer RNA is filed under the name Marmota marmota marmota (Alpine marmot). It matches the Rfam family "tRNA". Rfam says of the family: Transfer RNA (tRNA) molecules are approximately 80 nucleotides in length. RNAcentral also lists the same sequence under 2 other names. Lineage: Eukaryota; Metazoa; Chordata; Mammalia; Rodentia; Sciuridae. The record is from Rfam by way of RNAcentral.
GUGGCUGUGGCUCAGCGGUAGAGCACUCCUCUCACAUGUGUGAGGGCCUGGGUUUGAUCCUCAGCACCAUA